UACGUAGGGUGCGAGCGUUGUCCGGAAUUACUGGGCGUAAAGAGCUCGUAGGUGGUUUGUCGCGUUGUCCGUGAAAACUCACAGCUCAACUGUGGGCGUGCGGGCGAUACGGGCAGACUGGAGUACUGCAGGGGAGACUGGAAUUCCUGGUGUAGCGGUGGAAUGCGCAGAUAUCAGGAGGAACACCGGUGGCGAAGGCGGUCUCUGGCAGUGAACUGACGCUGAGGAGCGAAAGCGUGGGAGCGAACAGG
Molecule: ribosomal RNA, 251 nt
Filed under: uncultured bacterium
Lineage: Bacteria
Description: partial 16S ribosomal RNA
Rfam family: Bacterial small subunit ribosomal RNA
Source: RNAcentral